GUGGAGAUGAGGUUGGAGAAAAAGAGAGUUUUUCUUCUUCCUUGUUCACACAGAGAAAAAACACGGUGCACCCUCCCAAAUUAAAUUAUCUAUAAAAAAGCUUCCUCUGAAAAACUCUCUAUCCCUCUCCCAAAAUUAAUCACAAAACCUACAAAUUCUUGUAGAUUCUCAGCCCAAAAGAAAAUGCAAAUGUUUUCAUUUGGUAGUGUCCUUUUUUAGGUGUUCGUUAUAUCUGUGUAAUUCAAAAUGGAGGAUACGUGAAAACCUUUGUGACUUCAAGGGGCCUUCUGACGACAGCCUCUCGAAAUUCGAAAAAGAUUCAAUUGUUCGUAGAUUCUUUGCAUGAUCUACAACGUUGAUGUAUCAUUGAAGGGCUUCAACUCUAUUAAUUGCCACUAUAAUGUUGUGGCUCACGAGCCUGCUUUCAUGCACAAAGAUAUCAUUUGUCGUUGAUUUGGCUUAAUAAAGACAAUCCCUAUGAGUGGAUUCCUUAUUAGCUGCCGACUGGCGUUCUUUUUAGUUUCUUCGUUUCUUCUUUAUACUGAAAGAAAAAAAAGAUUUUAAAUGCAUAUAUUUUUUUAAGACAAUAACCAUCAACUAGUAGAAUAACAUGAAUAUCCAUUUUACCAUAAAACAUAUAUAAUUUUAAUAUAUUUAUUAAACUUCUACUAAAGACAAAUAUGAAACCUUUCAUCUAAUCUCAACACCCCAAUUAAAAAAAUAAUUAAAAAAAAUCACGAUCAAGGAAAAACAAGGUGCAUAAAAUAUAUGAUAAUGUAGAAAUUAUGGACAAGACAACAAAGAUUAAUCUAACAUUUUUAAUUUCUACCUUUGAAAAGUAGAAAAUUGAAUGAUCAUUAAAAUAGAAAUGAAUUACUUGGAAAUCUUCAAGAUUUUACCCAAAAAAAGAUUAAACAAAUUUGAAGAUUAAGGUCACAUUUGACCAUCUAAUUUUACUUUGUCAAUUCCUUAGUCAACUUAAAUUACAUUACCAUUUUAAAUGAUUAACAAAAUUUGGUCAGAAUUUUUAUUCCAACUCUGCCCCUGAUUAAAUCCGGAUAUUACUAAUACAGCCGCCAUAAUUGCGUGUCUGAGACAGUUUUCCAAGUAAAUGACAGCCAAUUGCCCAGUUAACGUGGCGUGCUCCUACUGGUCAUUCUUAAGUCUAAUUGGUGGGCCCACAUUACGUGGCGUAAAAUGAUUAGUGGUGAGAGAAAUAAUAUCCUGACUGGGUGUUUGAUUGUUUUUUCUUUUCUUUGGAAUUAUUGUCUUCGCGACAGACAAGCCACGUGAGGAAUAAUUGUCGUUAUCUGUUUAGGCCUUUCGGGGGCUGCGGCCCAAUUAUUAUGCACGUGUCUCUUUCUCCUCAUAAAUUUUCAAAAAAUAUAAAAAUUGAAGAAAUUGCAAA
Benincasa hispida (wax gourd) is the source of this 1408-nucleotide long non-coding RNA. RefSeq lists it as uncharacterized. The record is from RefSeq and is a predicted model, not a curated record. NCBI's taxonomy places the organism in Eukaryota, Viridiplantae, Streptophyta, Magnoliopsida, Cucurbitales, Cucurbitaceae.